Molecule: microRNA precursor, 154 nt
Filed under: Amborella trichopoda
Lineage: Eukaryota; Viridiplantae; Streptophyta; Magnoliopsida; Amborellales; Amborellaceae
Description: MIR8565 microRNA precursor family
Rfam family: MIR8565 microRNA precursor family
Source: Rfam by way of RNAcentral
CCCACACCCAUGUGUAUAGGAAUCCAAAGGAUCACCAUUAAAUUUGGCAUAGAUCUCUAAAAACGUUAUCACAUGAGUGUGGGACUUGACUUUUCUAGAGAUCUAUCCCUAAUUUAAUGGUGAUCCUUUGGAGUCCUACACACAUGGGUGUGGG